UAUAAAUUUUUAUAGUUUAAAAAUUUAUUAUAAAUUUAUUUUACAUAUAAAUUUUAGUGUUAAUUUUUAAUUAUUUUAAUAAUAUUUAAAUUUUAUAAUUUAGUAAUUAAAAUUAAAAAUUUAAGAAAUUAAUAUUUAGUAAUAUUUGAAUUAAUAACUAAUUUUGUGCCAGCAGUUGCGGUUAUACAAAAAUUAAAUUAAAUUUUUUUUUAGUAAUUAAUAAUUAAAUUUAAUUAAUUAAAAUAAUUAAUUAAUAUAAAAUUAAAUUUUAAAUUAUUAGGUAAAAUUUUAAUUUAUAAAAAUUUUAUAUUGAAUUAGGAUUUAAAAAAUUUUAUAAUAAACUAGGAUUAGAUACCCUAUUAUAAAAAUUUAAAUUAAAAAUACUAAAAUAGUAUAUAAUUAUUUAUUGAAACUUAAGUAAUUAUUAUAAAAAUUUAAAUUAAAAAUACUAAAAUAGUAUAUAAUUAUUUAUUGAAACUUAAGUAAUUUGGCGGUAUUUUAGUUUAUUUAGAGGAAUCUGUUUAUUAAUUGAUAUUCCACGAAUAAAUUUACUUAAUAUUAUAAAUUUUGUAUAUCGUUGUUGUAAAAAUAUUUUUAUAUAAAAAUAAUAUUUUAAUUUUUUAAUAAGAAUUUAAAUCAGAUCAAGAUGCAGAUUAUAAUUAAGUAUAUAAUGGAUUACAAUAAAUUUAUUUAAAUGAAUUUUAAUUUGAAAUAAUUAAUUGAAGGUGGAUUUAAAUGUAAUUUUAUUUAAUUUAAUAAGAUGAUUUUUAAUUAAAAUAUGUACAUAUUGCCCGUCGCUUUCAUUUAUAAGUUGAAAUAAGUCGUAACAAAGUAGAGGUACUGGAAAGUGUUUCUAGAAAGAA
This 863-nucleotide ribosomal RNA is filed under the name Triuncina daii. RNAcentral describes it as "12S ribosomal RNA". Lineage: Eukaryota; Metazoa; Arthropoda; Insecta; Lepidoptera; Bombycidae. The record is from RNAcentral.